RNAcentral lists this non-coding RNA (182 nucleotides) under pig gut metagenome. Its description in RNAcentral is "glmS glucosamine-6-phosphate activated ribozyme". It matches the Rfam family "glmS glucosamine-6-phosphate activated ribozyme aptamer", at positions 11 to 156 of the family's 167-position model. Rfam says of the family: This entry contains a glucosamine-6-phosphate activated ribozyme that is found in the mRNA for GlmS. GlmS is an enzyme that uses fructose-6-phosphate and glutamine to generate glucosamine-6-phosphate. The record is from RNAcentral.
CAAGCGCCAGCGCCCACUGGACCAUGACGUCCGUAGGGGCGGCCCCAUGUGGCCGCCUGGAAUGAGAUCCAGUGGGACGACGAGGGGAAGCGUGAUCGAAAAUUCGGCGGAUGCGCUUCCGGGGCCCCCGGCUCCGUGACACAGUCAGAAAUAUGCGGGCGACCGCAAAACAAAGGGGCUGU